AAUUUAUAUUUAGUAAAUUAAUUUUUUUUUUGCCAUAUAAAAUUAUUAGGAUUGUAUGGAUGGAUUGUAAAAAUUUUCAGAUUAUUAAGAUCAUAUGUGGUUUGUUGAAAUAUUUAUGUGAUUAUUAAGAUUAUACGUGGAAUAUAGAAAAAAACGAUAAAUAAGUGAACGACAGUAAAUGAUUCACGUCUUUAUGUAGGUAGUGAAUCUUUCACUGUUUUUAAGAAAAAAUUUCAACGUGACUCCUACAUGCCAAAAAGAGAAUUAGUUUUUCAAAGAUAAUUCUGUUUGGGGUAUUUCGU
Molecule: long non-coding RNA, 302 nt
Filed under: Ananas comosus (pineapple)
Lineage: Eukaryota; Viridiplantae; Streptophyta; Magnoliopsida; Poales; Bromeliaceae
Description: long non-coding RNA (ACOM_LNC006812)
Source: RNAcentral